Molecule: transfer-messenger RNA, 372 nt
Filed under: Anaerovoracaceae
Lineage: Bacteria; Bacillati; Bacillota; Clostridia; Peptostreptococcales
Also listed under: 1 other name
Description: QAKD01 sp944386585 Standard tmRNA
Rfam family: transfer-messenger RNA
About the family: Bacterial tmRNA, also known as 10Sa RNA or SsrA, is named for its dual tRNA and mRNA-like properties. Its role is to liberate the mRNA from a stalled ribosome. To accomplish this part of the tmRNA is used as a reading frame that ends in a translation stop signal.
Source: RNAcentral
GGGGGUGUAAUGGUUUCGACGGGGGUGUAGAAACAAGAUAAGCGAGCCGCAGUUUGCCAAGUCUGCGUUAAAAAUGGCACGUUAAAUAUAAACGCAAAAAAUAACAACAAUUACGCAUACGCAGCAUAGCUGUCUGCCGCAUAGAGCGGCCGCGUCGUCGGCUCGGAUUUACCUGUAGGUUCGAAUCCCGGCGUCAAUCAUACAGGAAAACUUUGUGCCUGCUCCCGGAAGCACAGAGGAAUAACGGGAUAGCGGAGUUUUGAGCCUGCCGUUCGGCGCUUAAUUCCGUGAAAUAAAAAGGAACGGCUGCGCUCGGAGAAAAUCUUGCGGAAAUGCUUUCGGACAGGAGUUCGACUCUCCUCACCUCCACCA